This 1091-nucleotide ribosomal RNA is filed under the name uncultured Actinomycetes bacterium. Its description in RNAcentral is "bacterial SSU rRNA". It matches the Rfam family "Bacterial small subunit ribosomal RNA", at positions 61 to 1182 of the family's 1533-position model. The record is from RNAcentral. Lineage: Bacteria; Bacillati; Actinomycetota; Actinomycetes.
GUCGAGGGAGAUCUGCACUUUCGGGUGUGGGGAGACCGGCGAACGGGUGAGUAUCACGUGAGGAACCUGCCCCUAAGACCGGGAUAACCAUUGGAAACGGUGGCUAAUACCGGAUGUUCUUGUUGCCCUGCAUGGGGCGGUGAGGAAAUGGUCUGCCGCUUAGGGAUGGCCUCGCGGCCUAUCAGCUUGUUGGUGGGGUAAUGGCCUACCAAGGCUUCGACGGGUAGCUGGCGUGAGAGCGCGAUCAGCCACACUGGGACUGAGACACGGCCCAGACUCCUACGGGAGGCAGCAGUGGGGAAUCUUGCGCAAUGGGCGAAAGCCUGACGCAGCGACGCCGCGUGCGGGAAGAAGGCCUUCGGGUUGUAAACCGCUUUCAGGAGGGAAGAAGCGCGAGUGACGGUACCUCCAGAAGAAGGACCGGCCAACUACGUGCCAGCAGCCGCGGUAAUACGUAGGGUCCGAGCGUUGUCCGGAAUUAUUGGGCGUAAAGAGCUCGUAGGCGGUCCAUUGAGUCGACUGUGAAAUCUCACGGCUCAACCGUGAAACUGCAGUUGAUACUGGUGGACUUGAGGCAGGUAGAGGAAGGUGGAAUUCCUGGUGUAGCGGUGGAAUGCGCAGAUAUCAGGAGGAACACCAGUGGCGAAGGCGGCCUUCUGGGCCUUGCCUGACGCUGAGGAGCGAAAGCGUGGGGAGCGAACAGGCUUAGAUACCCUGGUAGUCCACGCUGUAAACGAUGGGUGCUAGGUGUAGGGGGUUAUCCACUCCUUCUGUGCCGUAGCUAACGCAUUAAGCACCCCGCCUGGGGACUACGACCGCAAGGUUAAAACUCAAAGGAAUUGACGGGGGCCCGCACAAGCGGCGGAGCAUGUGGCUUAAUUCGAAGCAACGCGAAGAACCUUACCAAGGCUUGACAUGCAGGAAAAGCCGCAGAGAUGCGUGUCCUUUCGGGGUCCUGCACAGGUGUGGCAUGGUGUCGUCAGCUCGUGCCGUGAGGGUGUUGGGUAAGUCCCGAACGAGCGCAACCCUGUCUAUGUGCAGCAGUGAUGUCGGACUCAUGGAAUUCUGCCGGUUCAACGAGAGUGGGAUGA